GUCUUUUAUUGUGAUGUUGAACAUAAGUCGAUUGGGGAGAUACCUUCGUGUUGCACCGCUAAUAACACAAUAUCAAGAGGACCUAACUGCACCAUUGAAAGUGUUUUUCAAGUUGACUCUGGAAAGUAUUGGUGUGAGGAAGGAGGAGAGAGAAGUAACAUCAUAAACAUCAAUGUUCCUUCUGGUUCUGUGAUCCUGGAGAGUCCUGCUCUUCCUGUGAUGGAGGGAGAAGAUGUGACUCUGAGCUGCAGAACCAAAAUAUCUUCCUCCAACAUCCAAGCUGAUUUCUAUAAAGAUGGAGCCCACAAGUGGAGAAGCUCCACAGGAAAUCUGAUCAUCAAAACAGUCUCUAUGCUUGAUCAAGGAUUCUACAAAUGUCACAUCUCUGGAGUUGGAGAAUCACCUCAGAGCUGGCUAUCUGUUGGAGUUUCAGGUUAUUCUAUCGCUGAUACAGAAGAUACAGAAGAUCAAGUAGAUUCUAACCCUGACUCCUCGUCCAGUACACCAUGGAUCAUCAUCGCCGUCUUGUUGACACUUUUCUUGUUGGUCGUGGGACUACUAAUCUGCUUUGGCAGAUUUGCCUGUAGAAGAGGCUCUGUACAUGCCAAUGCAGCUGCACCAAGCCAACCAAUAUACGCUACUGUAUCAACGACCAGGAAGAAGAACGCAGCUGAGUCCAGAGUUCACUCAACGACACGAGACCCUGUUGACUAUGACGUAUGCUAUUCUACAGUUAAGUGUGUAAGUCAGAUACAGUCUAUUGUCUCCUCCUCUUUCUAUGAGCAUGUUCUUGCUGUCCGCUUAUAGAAAGAAAACUCAAAAGCAACUUAAAAACCUUGAGUCAGCGAGCUCCUCGUCUUCUGUCAGUGCAGCAUCUACACAUCCUGUAUGAAUCUCCAACAUUUUAAACUCUGUCUCCAAGGACUGAUUCUAUUGUC
Mugil cephalus (flathead mullet) is the source of this 938-nucleotide long non-coding RNA. RefSeq lists it as uncharacterized. The transcript has 5 exons. The record is from RefSeq and is a predicted model, not a curated record. NCBI's taxonomy places the organism in Eukaryota, Metazoa, Chordata, Actinopteri, Mugiliformes, Mugilidae.